This 503-nucleotide ribosomal RNA is filed under the name uncultured bacterium. Its description in RNAcentral is "bacterial SSU rRNA". It matches the Rfam family "Bacterial small subunit ribosomal RNA", at positions 29 to 526 of the family's 1533-position model. The record is from RNAcentral.
AUUGAACGCUGGCGGAAUGCUUUACACAUGCAAGUCGAGCGGCAGCGCGGGGGCAACCCUGGCGGCGAGCGGCGAACGGGUGAGUAACACAUCGGAACGUACCCUGUCGUGGGGGAUAACGAAUCGAAAGAUUCGCUAAUACCGCAUACGACCCGAGGGUGAAAGCGGGGGAUCGCAAGACCUCGCGCGAUAGGAGCGGCCGAUGUCGGAUUAGCUAGUUGGGGAGGUAAAGGCUCACCAAGGCGACGAUCCGUAGCUGGUCUGAGAGGACGACCAGCCACACUGGGACUGAGACACGGCCCAGACUCCUACGGGAGGCAGCAGUGGGGAAUUUUGGACAAUGGGGGCAACCCUGAUCCAGCCAUUCCGCGUGAGUGAAGAAGGCCUUCGGGUUGUAAAGCUCUUUCGGCAGGAACGAAACGGUGGAGGCUAAUACCUUUCAUCAAUGACGGUACCUGAAGAAGAAGCACCGGCUAACUACGUGCCAGCCGCCGCGGUAAGAC